This is a long non-coding RNA of Epinephelus moara (kelp grouper), 665 nucleotides long. RefSeq lists it as uncharacterized. NCBI's taxonomy places the organism in Eukaryota, Metazoa, Chordata, Actinopteri, Perciformes, Serranidae. The record is from RefSeq and is a predicted model, not a curated record. The transcript has 5 exons.
AAAAACAACUCUGCUGGCUAGGUCUCACUCUCCUCUCCAGAGCACACAUAAUUAGCCAAAGACUAUGGUUCUGCUCUGGGACGGUUAAAGGCUUACAGAAAAGAAGGUCUCGGCUGGUAUGAAGUACCUCCAUCUCGACAGCUGACAGGAAGAGACUCAACAGACUGACAAAGAAGGCCAGCUGUGUCCUGCCCGCUGGACGUGGUGGGAGAAAGGAGAAUGCUAGCCAAGCUAUCAUCCCUUAUGGUCAACAUGUCCCACCCCAUGCAGGACACUUUGUCAGCACUGGGCAGCUCGUUCAGUGACUGGCUGCUUCACCCGCUGUGCUGUCAGACUAUACAUCCAACACUGCUCCCAGUGGACCACACAUACAAAAACUAUGGACAAUCAAACAUCAUUCAUGUGAGAUCCAGUGUGGCAGGUACACUACAUCUAACUUCCCAGCAAUGACUGUGAUGUCCAUCAGGGGACCUGCAGCCAUGUACUGCAUGCUUUCUAUCCUCUCCAAGUGUCCACUCGAAGAGCAAAACUGAUCAGUCCUGUCCAUGUCCAUGAAAACCUCUGUGGUCACCUCCACAGACUGCUGGCCACAGGUCUGGACCAUCAGAUCCACCAGUGUGUCUGUACUGUCUGCCCCCUGUAGUCCGCUCAAUGGGACGUGUGGA